CUUUAAGUUUUCAUGGCUCAGGACGAACGCUGGCGGCGUGCCUAAUACAUGCAAGUCGAGCGGACAGAAGGGAGCUUGCUCCCGGAUGUUAGCGGCGGACGGGUGAGUAACACGUGGGUAACCUGCCUGUAAGACUGGGAUAACUCCGGGAAACCGGAGCUAAUACCGGAUAGUUCCUUGAACCGCAUGGUUCAAGGAUGAAAGACGGUUUCGGCUGUCACUUACAGAUGGACCCGCGGCGCAUUAGCUAGUUGGUGAGGUAACGGCUCACCAAGGCGACGAUGCGUAGCCGACCUGAGAGGGUGAUCGGCCACACUGGGACUGAGACACGGCCCAGACUCCUACGGGAGGCAGCAGUAGGGAAUCUUCCGCAAUGGACGAAAGUCUGACGGAGCAACGCCGCGUGAGUGAUGAAGGUUUUCGGAUCGUAAAGCUCUGUUGUUAGGGAAGAACAAGUGCAAGAGUAACUGCUUGCACCUUGACGGUACCUAACCAGAAAGCCACGGCUAACUACGUGCCAGCAGCCGCGGUAAUACGUAGGUGGCAAGCGUUGUCCGGAAUUAUUGGGCGUAAAGGGCUCGCAGGCGGUUUCUUAAGUCUGAUGUGAAAGCCCCCGGCUCAACCGGGGAGGGUCAUUGGAAACUGGGAAACUUGAGUGCAGAAGAGGAGAGUGGAAUUCCACGUGUAGCGGUGAAAUGCGUAGAGAUGUGGAGGAACACCAGUGGCGAAGGCGACUCUCUGGUCUGUAACUGACGCUGAGGAGCGAAAGCGUGGGGAGCGAACAGGAUUAGAUACCCUGGUAGUCCACGCCGUAAACGAUGAGUGCUAAGUGUUAGGGGGUUUCCGCCCCUUAGUGCUGCAGCUAACGCAUUAAGCACUCCCGCCUGGGGAAGC
Molecule: ribosomal RNA, 894 nt
Filed under: Bacillus pumilus
Lineage: Bacteria; Bacillati; Bacillota; Bacilli; Caryophanales; Bacillaceae
Description: bacterial SSU rRNA
Rfam family: Bacterial small subunit ribosomal RNA
Source: RNAcentral